GGAGAAUAAACACCCAGACUUUACUGUGUUCUAUCUCUCAUCUCUAGCCAAAUGGUAGAACCCAAGUGGAAGCCAGAGGGCAAGGAAGCCUAUGAUGGAGACCAUACACAUCAUCCUCUGGGAGCACUGAGCCAGGUCUAUAAUGUGUUCGGUAGAGGAAGCAAAAAAGAAGAGAAUCUGAACACUCCUAUGAGUCUGCCAUUCAAGGCUGUGCUGCCAGGAGGAAGAUGAUGAAGACAGACCAAACAAAUCCGCUCCUCAACACACAUCACAAAGUCCCCUCACUCCUCAAUGGAACAAGCACCCAUUUAUUUAGCCUCCUUUCAAAUAACGACCCUUGUCAGAGGCUAAACCUGCCAACCUCACUUGGGAGGACCAGCCUCUGAAGACCUAGUGUGAACUCAGGAGUGGCUGACAGGUCCCCAAGACAAAGUAGGCACUUUGAUGCUCGGCCUUCGUCUUCAGUCAGCUUUGCCUGGGCAGUGGGCAUGGAAAUCACAGAGAGAUGUAAUAUCUCCUCCCUCGAAUCCGAGACUCUUGACCUUCGGUGAGACAGGAGACUGCAGCAGAAAUUCUUGAUUAUCUGUCAUUCUCUCUCUUUUCUUAUUAAUAGAAACACAUUUUACAUGGAGUUACAACCCGCUCAGCCGAGAGACCAUAUUUCCCAGCCUGUCUUGAGGGUGGGUGUGGGCAGGAAGAUGGAAGUGGAUUUCUGGGACAGCCCAUUAAUAGGGGGACAGAACACUGGAGUGGAGCUUUUUUUGCCCUCCCCUCCCCAUCGCACUGUUCUCCUGCUUCCUUUCUAGAAGACAGAUGUUCAGCUAAGGCUCUAGCAGCCAUCUUAAACCAUGAGAUGGGUACCACAUACUGAGGACCACCCUGUGGAACACCACACCCGCUCUGAGGGAAAUUCAUAACUCUCCCCCAAAAGCUGCCUAUGUGCACACACAUAGUUUUGCAAACAACUUCCAGUUUCCUGAGCCCUGAAACCAAUGCACGGACCCCAGGUUAAGAACCCUGCCUUAGAGAUGUGGGGAGAGCCAGCUCUACCCCAGCUUCUUAAAUCACCAUGUUAAACUGGGGAGAUUCUAGGAUUGUCUUGUGACCACAUCCUCUGUAACCUGACAGCCCUCUUCUCCCCCCUCCCUCGCCUCAUUCCUCUGAAGCUGGUUCAGUCUGAAGCUGGUUCUGAAGCUGGGCUGCCCAUCUCUCCUCUCCUCACCUCCUCUCCUUCCCUCUCCCCAGCUAUUCUCCCUGGGCUGCCAAUCCCGCUCCGAAGUCACUUUAUACCAGGAAGGAAAUUAGCAUUUGUGUUGGGACAGAAAGCGACACUGCUCAGCUCUCACUGUCAUUCUGCUCUUAAUUAAUAUUUAACCUCAGAGAGAUUGUGCAGCAGACGGAAGAGGCUGAUGGGAGAACAAAGCUGGAGCUGGCUCUCCUUUUCAGCACUGCCUCUCCCACUUCCAGCUUCUCUCCCUGCACCUUCGGGCCCUGAAGGACGCAGAGGGCCCAACGGGAAGUGAGGAGGGGAGGCAGAGGAAGCCCCUGAGGACCCUCGGUUGUACUUUUUGGUUUUUCUCGCUCAAAUCUCUUGUCUAGAGAACCCUUCUGCAACAAGAUGAGAGCAGCUGGAGCUCAGAACCCCAUCCCCAGGGCCCAGAGCUAGACCCGGGCCUGGGCUGCCCAGAAGGAUAAAGAGACCGGAGGGGGAAAGGAAAGCAAUGCAAAUGUGCCCCUCCACAGAUUAUAUUUAAUGCACUAUUUUUAGUUGCCUUCAAUCCCUCGGGGCUGUCAGGGCGCAUGCAGCCCCACUCCCCCGGGAGAGGAAAUGACAGGCAUUAUUACCCAGCCCAGAACACUGGUGCAGUGCGUGAUGGGUGGGGGAGGUGCUGCCUUGCCGGCUCCAAGAUUGGGGAACUUAGUUUCCAACGGGAAAUUGAGGACACCGAGAAAGAUCAGGCCACGGACAGAAGGUCCGCAGGACCCCCCUCCCCCGUUCCCCUCCAGCCUGCCAGACCGUCCCCAAAUCCAGUCCACUGGGCGGGGACCAGGAGUGUGGGAGUCUCCUCCGUCCCCCAAGUGUCUGUAAAGUAGGUUAUACAACAUCCCUCCUGCCAAAUUCUUCCCUCUCUCUAAUCUUAGCCCUGCCUUCGGUCUAAGCCCAUUUCCCCUUGCUCCGCAUGCAGAGGCAAAGGAGGACAGCUGGUCACCACCCCCCAGCAAGAGAGCCCUUCUUUGUCUUGAAGAAGAUGAUUCAGUUUCCUCUCGGCCUUCUCUUCUCCAACCUGAGUCAUUCUGGUUCUUUUAACCUUCCACACAUGUCAUGUUUUUUAGCUCAUCUCCUUGUCACUCUUCUAACUCCGCUCUGAAUAUUUCCCCAGGUUCCUCCUUGGAACCUCAGCAGAUGCUGGGCCUUCGCCAGGGAGCACCUGAGCACCCAUCUGAAUGGCGGAACUUAUCCUGCACCGCCUCGGAGAGGUUUUCUAAUUGUCUUAGUUGUCCGGCCUCCGCAGGACCAAACCCUCCUUACAGAUCACAUCCUCUCCCUCUGCAUCGUCCCUCACCCUCCGCUACACAAGCUAAGUGCAAGGCUUCUAAGUAGUGGCACAUGCAUUUUCACUGUGUUUAGGUUUAAAUGAGAUGCAGAUAUAAAAUUUUUCAGCAAAGUAGUUAUCAUUUACUUUGUAAAUUAUACAAUGGCAUCUAAGUGGUAGCUUUUAUUAUUGUGGUGCUCGCCAGACCUCUGGAGAAUGUUUGUUUUCUUAACCAUAGCAUUAUCCUGUAUUAUAUUCAUUCAUUUGAUAAAUAUUUAUUGAGUUCCUAUAUGUCAGGCACUAUGCUAGAUGCUGAGAUGUCAAAAUGAAAGACCGAUCCUGGCUCCACAGGCAUUCACAGCCUAGUGAGGAAGAUAAGAUGUAAACAAUUACUAGGCAGGGUUGUAACUGUUAAUAAAGUGCUAGCGGAAUAUUGAGAAGGAGGAGACUGACCACAGCUCUUCACUCUAUGAUUCUGCCUUGGUAGGGGUUGAUAUGGAUGUGUUUAUGGCUGCCAGCAUCGCGUCCUAGGCUUGGUCCAGUCUGUGUUGUCCUGGAGUGUUUGUCAGUAAUGUGGACAAAUACCCAUGAAGGGCUGAGCAGAACGCUUUCAAAAAUGUGGUAUAUAGGGGCUUCCCUGGUGGCGCAGUGGUUGAGAAUCUGCCUGCCAAUGCAGGGGACACGGGUUCGAGCCCUGGUCUGGGAAGAUCCCACAUGCCGCGGAGCAACUAGGCCCGUGAGCCACAACUACUGAGCCUGCGCGUCUGGAGCCUGUGCUCCGCAACAAGAGAGGCUGCGACCGUGAGAGGCCCGCGCGCUGCGAUGAAGAGUGGCCCCCGCUUGCCGCAACUAGAGAAAGCCCUCACAUGAAAUGAAGACCCAACACAGACAAAAAUAAAUUAAAAAAAAAAAAAAUGUGGUAUAUGGAUACAUACAGAGAGAUGGUCUCUCUCUUUUUUUUUUUUUUCAGUUUGGGCCUAACUGCAGCCUUCUCACCAAUGCGAGGGUAAAUCUAAUACAGAGAGACUCUGAGGGAAGCACUGCUGAAAAUGGCAAGGGAAACAGAGACCUGACAACACCAUCCUAAGCCCCUGGGUCCAGCCAUGCCAACCCAGUUAAGUGGCCCAAGAAAUUCUUGGUUUUGUUUAAAUUUGUAAUUCCAGAAGGAAGCAGAAGCCUGACAAGAGCCCUCAAUACCAAGACCCUUUCCUAGAGGGGAGCAGAAGGUGGUUGCCUAACGUGCCAAUUUAGUGUAAUUUGUCUCUAUGGCCCCAUGACUCUAAGAUACAUGGAUUGAGGAGAAAUUCAUCCAGGCAGGAGAAGUGGCAAGGUAAUGGAGGAGCUUUGGGGUUGAACAGACUUGAGUGGAAUCCCAGCUCUGCUGCUUCCCAGCUGUGUGACUUUGUUCAAGUUACCUAACCUCUCUUUUUCCCCACAUGUCCCUUGCUGGUAAAACAUGGAUAAUACUAUUUGCAUCAUUGGGCUACUGUGAGCAUUAUAGGACAUAAUGUACUGAGAAUGGACAUGCAUUACUCAGUCAGUCCUGUCCGGAACAACCCCCUUUCU
Balaenoptera acutorostrata (minke whale) is the source of this 4100-nucleotide long non-coding RNA. RefSeq lists it as uncharacterized. The record is from RefSeq and is a predicted model, not a curated record. The transcript is spliced from 3 exons. Lineage: Eukaryota; Metazoa; Chordata; Mammalia; Artiodactyla; Balaenopteridae.